AACGAACGCUGGCGGCAGGCCUAACACAUGCAAGUCGAGCGCCCCGCCAGGGGAGCGGCGGACGGGUGAGUAACGCGUGGGAAUAUGCCCUUUGCUACGGAAUAGUCUCGGGAAACUGGGGGUAAUACCGUAUACGCCCUUUGGGGGAAAGAUUUAUCGGCGAAGGAUUAGCCCGCGUUGGAUUAGGUAGUUGGUGGGGUAAUGGCCUACCAAGCCGACGAUCCAUAGCUGGUUUGAGAGGAUGAUCAGCCACACUGGGACUGAGACGCGGCCCAGACUCCUACGGGAGGCAGCAGUGGGGAAUCUUAGACAAUGGGGGCAACCCUGAUCUAGCCAUGCCGCGUGAGUGAUGAAGGCCUUAGGGUUGUAAAGCUCUUUCAGCUGGGAAGAUAAUGACGGUACCAGCAGAAGAAGCCCCGGCUAACUCCGUG
This 431-nucleotide ribosomal RNA is filed under the name uncultured bacterium. RNAcentral's name for it is "partial 16S ribosomal RNA". It matches the Rfam family "Bacterial small subunit ribosomal RNA", at positions 29 to 507 of the family's 1533-position model. The record is from RNAcentral.